CAAGAAAUCCUAAACCUGAAGGUAUUGCUUCUUGUAUAGAUUCAUCUCCUGGAGAGUGAAAAGUUGCUGGAACCUCUGACCUAUGAGGUAUAGAAUCAGAAUCAGAAGCAAACAUGCCUGUUACGUCAUCCAAGUGAUUCUCAAUAGAAACCCCAUUAGUGUGUGAAUCUCCGAGCCCUUGAGGAGAUGAAAUGCUCGAAUGUAUGAUCUCAGGACAGAUAUGGGAACCAUCCUUGUCCUCUGAAUUGUCAAUGCCAUUGACUGCAUCCUUGUUAGCCAAAACAUUUACAGAGACAGAAUCUGAAGAUUGUUGUUCUUUAAAUGAAGUACUAGCUUCGGCACUACUUCUAUGCCUACAAGAUUCAUCAUGACUAUAAUUUUCACUUACCUGAUAGGGAGUAACUAAUUCCUUACUUUCAGACAUCCUUUGACUACUUGUUCCAUUAUUUCUCAAACCACUUUCAGCAGAGGUUCCCUCACCGACUGUGACACUGCUUCCAGAUGAUGCUCCAAUUUCAGCAACAGAGCUGGUAGACCUUGUUCCUAUUCCAGAAUUGAAUGAAGACUCCUCUGCAAGAUUCCAGAUCUCAUUGGUGACAGGAUCAAAAUUUUUUGUAGAAUUUACCAGAAUUUCAUCUGGAUGAUUUUCCAUCUCAAGAGUAGCG
Molecule: unclassified non-coding RNA, 665 nt
Filed under: Hevea brasiliensis (rubber tree)
Lineage: Eukaryota; Viridiplantae; Streptophyta; Magnoliopsida; Malpighiales; Euphorbiaceae
Source: RNAcentral